Molecule: long non-coding RNA, 414 nt
Filed under: Rattus norvegicus (Norway rat)
Lineage: Eukaryota; Metazoa; Chordata; Mammalia; Rodentia; Muridae
Description: long non-coding RNA NONRATT004695
Source: RNAcentral
GGGUCUUUGGCUUGGGGGAGGUUUGGAGAAGGAGAGGGACAAGCAGCAUAAGGGAACAGGGCUUGACCAGCCCCAAUUGACAGGGAAAGGUGCUGAAACUGGAGGAGAGCUGGGCAAGAGGCCAGAGGGCGGCCGGGGGCAGUGGUGGUAGGGCUUUGGAGGUGAAGUGUGGAGUGUUGUUCUCAUGACUUUGGGGGAGAGUGGGGCCCGAGGGGCUUUCGAGGAGCUGUUCUCAGGUGACAAGGCCUUUAAAGGACAGAGUUUUAAAUUAUAGGAAGAAAGAUUCAGCAAAAGAGUGAACUGUUCUCACUUUCAGAUGUUAGGCAGUUCAAGGCCAGCCUCAAUUACAGGGUCUUAUGAAUGAAACCAUGGCUACAGAUUCUCCUAGAAGACCCAGUCGCUGCACUGGUGGAG